Molecule: ribosomal RNA, 253 nt
Filed under: uncultured bacterium
Lineage: Bacteria
Description: partial 16S ribosomal RNA
Rfam family: Bacterial small subunit ribosomal RNA
Source: RNAcentral
UACGUAGGUGGCAAGCGUUGUCCGGAUUUACUGGGCGUAAAGGGCGUGCAGGCGGUCUGUUAAGUCUAGGGUGAAAGCUCCCGGCUCAACUGGGAGAGGUCCUUGGAUACUGGCGGACUUGAGGGAGGUAGAGGAAAGUGGAAUUCCACGUGUAGCAGUGAAAUGCGUAGAGAUGUGGAGGAACACCGAUGGCGAAGGCAGCCCCCUGGGUCAAGAUUGACGCUCAUGCACGAAAGCGUGGGGAGCAAACAGG